This 66-nucleotide transfer RNA is filed under the name Chrotogonus sp. TAMUIC IGC OR284. RNAcentral's name for it is "tRNA-Pro". It matches the Rfam family "tRNA". From Rfam's summary of the family: Transfer RNA (tRNA) molecules are approximately 80 nucleotides in length. Their secondary structure includes four short double-helical elements and three loops (D, anti-codon, and T loops). The record is from RNAcentral. Lineage: Eukaryota; Metazoa; Arthropoda; Insecta; Orthoptera; Pyrgomorphidae.
CAGGAGUUAGUUUAAUAAAUAUUAGCCUUGGAUGCUAAAGAUAAGAGUGUAUACUCUUACACCUGA